RNAcentral lists this ribosomal RNA (465 nucleotides) under Vreelandella stevensii. RNAcentral describes it as "partial 16S ribosomal RNA". It matches the Rfam family "Bacterial small subunit ribosomal RNA", at positions 338 to 795 of the family's 1533-position model. The record is from RNAcentral. Lineage: Bacteria; Pseudomonadati; Pseudomonadota; Gammaproteobacteria; Oceanospirillales; Halomonadaceae.
CCUACGGGUGGCAGCAGUGGGGAAUAUUGGACAAUGGGCGAAAGCCUGAUCCAGCCAUGCCGCGUGUGUGAAGAAGGCCUUCGGGUUGUAAAGCACUUUCAGUGGGGAAGAAAGCCUUGGGGCUAAUACCCUCGAGGAAGGACAUCACCCACAGAAGAAGCACCGGCUAACUCCGUGCCAGCAGCCGCGGUAAUACGGAGGGUGCGAGCGUUAAUCGGAAUUACUGGGCGUAAAGCGCGCGUAGGCGGUCUGAUAAGCCGGUUGUGAAAGCCCCGGGCCCAACCUGGGAACGGCAUCCGGAACUGUCAGGCUAGAGUGCAGGAGAGGAAGGUAGAAUUCCCGGUGUAGCGGUGAAAUGCGUAGAGAUCGGGAGGAAUACCAGUGGCGAAGGCGGCCUUCUGGACUGACACUGACGCUGAGGUGCGAAAGCGUGGGUAGCAAACAGGAUUAGAUACCCCAGUAGUC